ACUUUCCAUACUUGCAAAAUAAAUGGCGGAGUUGGCUCUCUUAUCCCGGUAUUUUUAAUUCACUCAAAACUCUGAUCAAUUGAAACAGGUUCACAUUAUCAUAUGCACCCUCAACAUCCAGAAAUACAGAGAUUGCAUUAGAGUGAGCAAAGAUAGAAUGUUUAAUGUCAGCAAUGAAUGAAACGAAGCCUUCUACUGCACUUUUACCUUUUCUGAAACCUAGUUGAUAAUCAGGUAGACAAUAUACACAUAGAAUAGUUAGAGGACCGACUUUUGUAUCAACAGAAAUAGCAAUCGUUUGAACAUCUUGGAAAUUUGGAGUUGAAAGUUGGACAUAUCUAUAGAACUUUUAAUUAAAAAGGCUACACCACCAUGUUCAUUUUCAGCAUUUGUAAAGAUAAAAUCAUACCUAGGCAUGUAAAAGUGUAACUGAGAACUUUUUAACCAUGUUUCAUUUAAUAAACAUAUAUCUAUUUCAUUAUCAAAUAAAAGUUUUUGUAACAAAGGUUUUUUAUUAUUAAUAUUUUGUAUAUUAUGUUGUACUAGUUUUAAACUAUCCAUUAUUCAGAUAAGUUUUUAAUAAAAAUUUCCUUAAUAUGA
Molecule: long non-coding RNA, 600 nt
Organism: Melitaea cinxia (Glanville fritillary)
Lineage: Eukaryota; Metazoa; Arthropoda; Insecta; Lepidoptera; Nymphalidae
Exons: 3
Source: RefSeq, a predicted model, not a curated record